AAUAGAAUGGUACGUUUGCGCGUGCAUGUGAAAUGCGCGUGCACGUGCGUGCAUGUGCGUGCGUGUGUGUGUGCGUGCGUGUAAUUUGGCUGUGUGUGUGUGUGUGUGUGUGUGGGGAAGCACGUGCACACUGGUGACCCUGGUGAUCUUGUUGGUAACCCUAGGGCUGUUGUUAAUUAUUGGUAACUGACCAAGGGUGUCUGAUGUAGGUGUUAUCAGUUGCUCCAAAACAAAAGAAGACCCCAUCCUGUGGAUCCAGAUUCAGUUAAAAAAUACAGUUGUAUCCCAAUAUGUGUCUUUAUGACAGUACCAUUUAAAAGUUCAAACAAACCCCUGGCUCCUGUGACCAAAUGUUUUUUGCCUGUUUGCUUUUGCCUCAGAAGACCCAUACUGAUGAUCCUGAUUCAGAUAAAAAAAGUCAGUUGGAUCCCUAAGGUGUUAUCAGUUGCUCCAUAACAAAAGAAGACCCCCUCCUGUGGAGCCUGAUUCAGUUAAAAAAAAAAAAAGUCAGUUGUAUCUAAGAGGUGCCUUUUAUUACAGUACCCAUAACAGAUCAAACAAACCCUAGGCUGCUGUGGUCAAAAAUGUUUAUGUCUUUUGAUGAUGUGGUGGUUGCUACUGUUUGCAGGCUAUAUCAACAUGGAGCCUGUAACCAUAUGUUUGGGAUGUCAUUAACUCCACCUUCAUAGUAGGUGUGUUUUACCUACUCUUACUGUAUAUAUAGUCACCAUUCAGCUGAGGUAGGGUUUACCAAACUUCAUCACCUUUUUGAAGAGGACGCUUUCUCCUAACGCAUUUCUUGCAUUUUCACAUCUCGGGGUAAUUUCUACCAAUGGCGUCUUUCCCCUGUAAGUAUACCCAUUUUUUUAUCUACCACAGUUAUUUUUUCUUCCAAUAAUACCUGUUUGUUUUUUAUAGUAAAAAUGUUGUUCUUAACAGUUUUAUUUGUUAGGUUACAUGGCCAGUGGUAGCAACCGCCACGACAGAGGUAUUGAAAACUUUCAACCUGGUGAUAAUGAAGUGCCUUCAACCAGCUACUGGGGAACACCUUUUCAGCGGAGGGGGAUCUUACAACCCCUAAACCAACUUUCAAAAGGUAUAAGAAGAUUCGGACUUUGAGGAACCAAAGAGCAGGCUUAAAAGACCAAAUAGACUUCAAUCGGGCCCUGUAAAAAAGAGGCAAAAGGAAGAGAAGGGGCGCCAUAGGGUUCAAGUGCAUACAAGGUAUGUAUAAGAUUACGGUAUUCUAUCUGUAUCUACGAUUAUUUAUUUUUUUAUGUAUGUACUAAGUUUUUUUUUUUUUUCUCCUAAUGUCAUGCAUCAGACCGGUAAUUAAUGAGGGCAACAUUGACUCAACAUUGGAUGCAGUUGUGUUGGCUUCGGUUACCGAGACGAUUCGACGUGAAGAGGCAGAGGACGUGUGUGCUGUCGUGGAUCAAUUGAAGUCGUUAUUAGCAGCGCAGAGACAGCCGACCGCAAAGCUUGUGACAGAUAUUUCUCAAGAAGAAGAGGACAUUCAGCAGGGUGAGCGGGAACCAUACAGUGAAUGGGGGGAGAAUUUGAGUGUACCAUGUGGUUAUCCUAAGCUGGAUUGUUUUGAUUCACUUGUUGAUUUUGAGGAGAAAACCUCUGACACACUCCCUGCAACACAAACGUGUGUGGGGGAGGAUAAUGAACAGCCUGGUUCUUCAGAACAAUUAGAAUUACUCGUCUGGAGCGACCUCGAGGAUAUGUUGCUAUCCUCACAACGACAGGCAAUUCAUCCUGAUCAAUUACGUACACAAAGUGUGGUUGACUGUUGUGUCACUGAGGAUUUGUCAUUAGGGGGUGGGGUUGAUAUUGGCAACCGAUUUGAUAAAUUCGAAUGCAUGGUGAACAGUAAAUUAGCAGAAAUACAGAGGGAUAACAAAGAACAAUAUGAGUCUUUGAAUAGUAAAAUAGCCGAAUUAGAAAAACAAAACAACAACUUAUUAAAUACUGUUCUGGCUGAGUGUAAAUCAGAUCUAUUAUAUAGAGGUAUUCUGACUUCUGACAUCUGUGCCCUGCAUGCAGCCAGUGGAGAACUGGUUAGAAUCCAGAAUAAUAUGGUUACGGGUCUAUCACAUAUAUCAAACAUCCUAAAAAGCAGGUCUUCAUCAUAGUGCUCAAAUAUUAGCUGAUAACAUGUCACCUCCUAGAAAAAUUUUCAAAUAUAGUGAUGACGCUGGUCGUAACGCUGCUAAUGAUGAUGAUGUUAAUGAAGUUGAUAGUGAUGAAAUCUCUCAUGUCCCUCAUACUGUCGAAGAAUAUAUUACCCAUAGUGACCAAAAUGCAAUGGGCCAUGGGCUACCACAAUUACCCUGUGUAAAAUACAAUACUGAAACUAUCAGAAAGUGGGGUGUAUUCACCAAUGCUAGGCUUGAUUCUAUUUUAGCUGAUUUGUCUACUAUUAUUCCCUCUGUAAAUAUUCCGCUUUCUGAUGCUGCUGCUGCUGCUGCUGUUGCUGUUGCUUCUACUUCUGCUUCUGCUGCAGAGACAUUUGACAUUGUGUCUGUCUGCCAUGAUUAUAAUAAUGCUUUGAUCACAGUUAAUGAUAGUGUUGAUAAUCAUGAUGACGAUGGUCGUAACGCAACCAAUGAUGAUAAUGUCAAUGAAGUAGACAGUGAUGAUGA
Molecule: RNA transcript, 2651 nt
Organism: Sebastes umbrosus (honeycomb rockfish)
Lineage: Eukaryota; Metazoa; Chordata; Actinopteri; Perciformes; Sebastidae
Exons: 3
Source: RefSeq, a predicted model, not a curated record